RNAcentral lists this long non-coding RNA (360 nucleotides) under Elaeis guineensis (African oil palm). RNAcentral's name for it is "long non-coding RNA (EGUI_LNC032572)". Lineage: Eukaryota; Viridiplantae; Streptophyta; Magnoliopsida; Arecales; Arecaceae. The record is from RNAcentral.
UGAUAGCUGAGAAGGCAAGCAGCGAAGAUCAGACGACGACAGAGCUUCUGGAGUCUGAUCAGGAGCCUGAUUUUGAUGCCAUUUGGGUUUUAGGGCUUUAAACGGCCCUAUGGGGAGCAGAACCAUGAGUGGGUGCAGCCGUGAGGAGUCUAAUGAGUAGAGAGGGACAUCAGUUGAGGGAGGCUUAGGUAGCAAUUGAGAAGAGUUUAGCGGGCAUCGAGUGCAUGCAGCGAGUAGAGCAGACACUACAGAGCAUCGACAGGGGAUCGGGGGCAGAGUAAAGCAUCAGGCAGAAUAGCUGUGGAGAGGCAUGAUAUAGCAGUUCGCUCCAUAGGAAGCAUCCAAGGACAUCGAGGACCC